AAAUAAGAAGCGAUAUAUUGCAAUCAGUUUCGACCUGAUCCUAGAUGAUUACAUCCUUAUUUA
RNAcentral lists this transfer RNA (63 nucleotides) under Chizuella bonneti. Its description in RNAcentral is "Metrioptera bonneti tRNA-Arg". The record is from RNAcentral. Lineage: Eukaryota; Metazoa; Arthropoda; Insecta; Orthoptera; Tettigoniidae.